Molecule: transfer RNA, 77 nt
Filed under: Faecalicoccus pleomorphus
Lineage: Bacteria; Bacillati; Bacillota; Erysipelotrichia; Erysipelotrichales; Erysipelotrichaceae
Description: tRNA-Arg
Rfam family: tRNA
About the family: Transfer RNA (tRNA) molecules are approximately 80 nucleotides in length.
Source: RNAcentral
GUGCUGAUAGCUCCAAUGGAUAGAGCGUUGGACUCCGGAUCCAAAGGAUGCGGGUUCGAUCCCCGCUCAGCACACCA